UGGGGAAUCUUCCGCAAUGGACGAAAGUCUGACGGAGCAACGCCGCGUGAGUGAAGACGGCCUUCGGGUUGUAAAGCUCUGUUAUUCGGGAAGAACGAUUCGUUUGUGAACAAUGAACGGAAGUGACGGUACCGAAAGAGAAAGCCACGGCUAACUACGUGCCAGCAGCCGCGGUAAUACGUAGGUGGCAAGCGUUGUCCGGAAUUAUUGGGCGUAAAGAGCGCGUAGGCGGUAUGGUAAGUCUGUCUUAGAAGUGCGGGGCUUAACCCCGUGAGGGGACAGAGACUGUCAUACUGGAGUCUCGGAGAGGAAAGCGGAAUUCCUAGUGUAGCGGUGAAAUGCGUAGAGAUUAGGAAGAACACCGGUGGCGAAGGCGGCUUUCUGGACGAGCACUGACGCUGAGGCGCGAAAGCGUGGGGAGCGAACAG
RNAcentral lists this ribosomal RNA (428 nucleotides) under Fusobacteriota bacterium. Its description in RNAcentral is "Fusobacteria bacterium partial 16S ribosomal RNA". It matches the Rfam family "Bacterial small subunit ribosomal RNA", at positions 355 to 775 of the family's 1533-position model. The record is from RNAcentral. Lineage: Bacteria; Fusobacteriati; Fusobacteriota.